GACGAACGCUGGCGGCGUGCUUAACACAUGCAAGUCGAACGGAAAGGCCCUGCUUUUGUGGGGUGCUCGAGUGGCGAACGGGUGAGUAACACGUGAGUAACCUGCCCUUGACUUUGGGAUAACUUCAGGAAACUGGGGCUAAUACCGGAUAGGAGCUCCUGCUGCAUGGUGGGGGUUGGAAAGUUUCGGCGGUUGGGGAUGGACUCGCGGCUUAUCAGCUUGUUGGUGGGGUAGUGGCUUACCAAGGCUUUGACGGGUAGCCGGCCUGAGAGGGUGACCGGCCACAUUGGGACUGAGAUACGGCCCAGACUCCUACGUGAGGCAGCAGUGGGGAAUAUUGCACAAUGGGCGGAAGCCUGAUGCAGCAACGCCGCGUGCGGGAUGACGGCCUUCGGGUUGUAAACCGCUUUCGCCUGUGACGAAGCGGGAGUGACGGUAAUGGGUAAAGAAGCACCGGCUAACUACGUG
Molecule: ribosomal RNA, 468 nt
Filed under: uncultured bacterium
Lineage: Bacteria
Description: partial 16S ribosomal RNA
Rfam family: Bacterial small subunit ribosomal RNA
Source: RNAcentral